This 1085-nucleotide ribosomal RNA is filed under the name Escherichia sp. Its description in RNAcentral is "bacterial SSU rRNA". The record is from RNAcentral. Lineage: Bacteria; Pseudomonadati; Pseudomonadota; Gammaproteobacteria; Enterobacterales; Enterobacteriaceae.
GCUUGCUKCUUUGCUGACGAGUGGCGGACGGGUGAGUAAUGUCUGGGAAACUGCCUGAUGGAGGGGGAUAACUACUGGAAACGGUAGCUAAUACCGCAUAACGUCGCAAGACCAAAGAGGGGGACCUUCGGGCCUCUUGCCAUCGGAUGUGCCCAGAUGGGAUUAGCUAGUAGGUGGGGUAACGGCUCACCUAGGCGACGAUCCCUAGCUGGUCUGAGAGGAUGACCAGCCACACUGGAACUGAGACACGGUCCAGACUCCUACGGGAGGCAGCAGUGGGGAAUAUUGCACAAUGGGCGCAAGCCUGAUGCAGCCAUGCCGCGUGUAUGAAGAAGGCCUUCGGGUUGUAAAGUACUUUCAGCGGGGAGGAAGGGAGUAAAGUUAAUACCUUUGCUCAUUGACGUUACCCGCAGAAGAAGCACCGGCUAACUCCGUGCCAGCAGCCGCGGUAAUACGGAGGGUGCAAGCGUUAAUCGGAAUUACUGGGCGUAAAGCGCACGCAGGCGGUUUGUUAAGUCAGAUGUGAAAUCCCCGGGCUCAACCUGGGAACUGCAUCUGAUACUGGCAAGCUUGAGUCUCGUAGAGGGGGGUAGAAUUCCAGGUGUAGCGGUGAAAUGCGUAGAGAUCUGGAGGAAUACCGGUGGCGAAGGCGGCCCCCUGGACGAAGACUGACGCUCAGGUGCGAAAGCGUGGGGAGCAAACAGGAUUAGAUACCCUGGUAGUCCACGCCGUAAACGAUGUCGACUUGGAGGUUGUGCCCUUGAGGCGUGGCUUCCGGAGCUAACGCGUUAAGUCGACCGCCUGGGGAGUACGGCCGCAAGGUUAAAACUCAAAUGAAUUGACGGGGGCCCGCACAAGCGGUGGAGCAUGUGGUUUAAUUCGAUGCAACGCGAAGAACCUUACCUGGUCUUGACAUCCACGGAAGUUUUCAGAGAUGAGAAUGUGCCUUCGGGAACCGUGAGACAGGUGCUGCAUGGCUGUCGUCAGCUCGUGUUGUGAAAUGUUGGGUUAAGUCCCGCAACGAGCGCAACCCUUAUCCUUUGUUGCCAGCGGUCCGGCCGGGAACUCAAAGGAGACUGCCAGUG